GACAGAGGUGCCAAGCGUUAGGCGGAAUCACUGGGCUUAAAGCGUGUGUAGGCGGACUUCUAAGUACCUUGUGAAAUCCCACGGCUCAACCGUGGAGCUGCUUGGUAUACUGGUUGUCUUGAGCCACUUAGGGGCUACCGGAACAAAUGGUGGAGCGGUGAAAUGCGUAGAUAUCAUUUGGAACGCCAAUGGUGAAAACAGGUAGCUGGGAGUGUGCUGACGCUGAGACACGAAAGCCAGGGGAGCGAACGGG
RNAcentral lists this ribosomal RNA (253 nucleotides) under uncultured bacterium. Its description in RNAcentral is "partial 16S ribosomal RNA". It matches the Rfam family "Bacterial small subunit ribosomal RNA", at positions 524 to 776 of the family's 1533-position model. The record is from RNAcentral.